Molecule: transfer RNA, 74 nt
Organism: Gossypium raimondii (Peruvian cotton)
Lineage: Eukaryota; Viridiplantae; Streptophyta; Magnoliopsida; Malvales; Malvaceae
Rfam family: tRNA
About the family: Transfer RNA (tRNA) molecules are approximately 80 nucleotides in length. Their secondary structure includes four short double-helical elements and three loops (D, anti-codon, and T loops).
Source: Rfam
GGGAUUGUAGUUCAAUUGGUCAGAGCACUACCCUAUUAAGGCGAAAUCUGCGGGCUCGAGCCCCGUUAGUCCCG